GAAAAGGCUUUGAAAGGGAAGAGUACGCACGUUUGCCGGCGCAGAGAAGGGAUGUUUGGUGAAAAUCCCUGCGGCGGCGUGUGGAAAGUAGCCCCGGAGCUGUGAACUGAACGCGCUUCGCGCAAGUAGGCUUCAUCGGGUGUCCGCCGUUACAGGGAACGCCGCAUCGGCCUUGUGCCCGUGCGGGCAGAGUGUGCGUGCCUUUUCGGGCGCGCAAACAUAGGUGGUACCGCGAAAGAAUCAGCUUUCGUCCUAUUG
RNAcentral lists this non-coding RNA (258 nucleotides) under Ethanoligenens harbinense. RNAcentral's name for it is "T-box sequence". It matches the Rfam family "T-box leader". From Rfam's summary of the family: Uncharged tRNA acts as the effector for transcription antitermination of genes in the T-box leader family. T-boxes are found upstream of many aminoacyl-tRNA synthetase genes and some amino acid biosynthetic genes usually in Gram-positive bacteria. Lineage: Bacteria; Bacillati; Bacillota; Clostridia; Eubacteriales; Oscillospiraceae. The record is from RNAcentral.